This 409-nucleotide small RNA is filed under the name Serratia odorifera DSM 4582. Its description in RNAcentral is "cspA thermoregulator". It matches the Rfam family "cspA thermoregulator", at positions 86 to 428 of the family's 428-position model. Lineage: Bacteria; Pseudomonadati; Pseudomonadota; Gammaproteobacteria; Enterobacterales; Yersiniaceae. The record is from Rfam by way of RNAcentral.
UCCUGUAACCUGCUGUUUUAAUAAGGAACGAAAAAAUUUGCCCUGUCACGACGAUUAUGCGUUAAUAACUGGCGGCGAAAGAAGACCUACAGAACGCAGGGCCUUCGCGCCGUAAGUGCCGUCAAGGCAGGUUUAUCAAGUAAAGGAAAGUCAAAUGACUAAGAUUACCGGUCACGUAAAAUGGUUCAACGAAAGCAAAGGCUUCGGCUUUAUCACUCCAGCCGAUGGCUCGAAAGAUGUUUUCGUGCAUUUUUCCGCUAUCGUCAGCGAUGGUUUCAAAACUCUGGCAGAAGGUCAGCAGGUUGAAUUCUCCAUCCAGGACAGCCAACGUGGCCCAGCCGCAGCCAACGUUGUUGCCAUCUAACGCAACGUCGCUGCCAAAAAACCCGCUUCCGGCGGGUUUUUUUAU